This 2757-nucleotide long non-coding RNA is filed under the name Delphinapterus leucas (beluga whale). RNAcentral's name for it is "lncRNA (ENSDLEG00000010184.1)". Lineage: Eukaryota; Metazoa; Chordata; Mammalia; Artiodactyla; Monodontidae. The record is from RNAcentral.
UGGGAUUUCUGGCUUGGGCAGGCGAGGCUGAACCUUCAGUGGAGCCCUCUUACGUCUCCUAAUCCUCCCAGCAACCGGUGACGCGGCCCUCAUGAGGCCCACCACUGGCCAACCCAGGAGAGCAGGGCUGGAGCGUGACCCCCAAUCCCGAGGCGCCUCCCAGCUCCCCCUACUCGGCGGCCCCGCGCUCCGCCAGCUCCUUCCCUCCCUUCCCCGCCCCAGUCCCGCAGUGCGGCAGGCUGGGGUCGGCGAGCCAGCUGAGUGGGAGCCGCGCGGUGUCCGAGGAUCCAGUCGGCGACCGAUUUCUUCCCAAGCAUAGACCCUUUCCUUCCAGGGCAAGCUCCAGCAUGGGGUGAGGUACAGAAGAGAUACUUGAAGGAUACACCCUGGCACUCAAGCACAAAACCCGCACCCUUGACCAGGGUCUCUUAUUCCAUGUCUGUGAUGGGGCAAAAUGGUAUCUUUGUUUAUAUGUCAUUUAUGUGUGUGUGUUUUCAUUUGUGCAUUUGUCUUUCCUUCCUUGGGCAUGUGCCCUUGAAGGCAGUAGCCUGGCAGAGGGUGUAAUCCCAGAAACUUGGCCUGAGAGGUGCCAGGGUCUCCAGAGACACUCAGGUGAGGGGGAAUACUCACUAGGACAUAAGCGUUGCUCUCUUUGCCAUUUGGGAUCAACCACUGACCCUUGAGAGAAGGUUGUAUUCACACAAGGGCAAACAUUCUUUUGAAUUUGACCAGCUAUAAUUAGCAGCCCAAGCAAGUGCCUGGGCUGAAAACUGUCUCUGGAAGAACCAAGAAACUCCCUCUAAAGUCCGCUCUCAGGUCUGCAGAGGGGCUCUUGCCCCUGCUUACAGAUUUUGUUUAAAACUCAUCCUCUUUGAAUAAGAUGUCUAGGAUUUAAAAUACUCCAGACCACCCCCCCACAAAAAAAAUAGUGUAUGGGCUGGGGUAGGGUGGGGGGAGUGUCAUAGAUGAAACAAAAUAGCAAAAUGUAAAUAGAUGCUGAAGGUGAGUGAGUGAUUUGUGGUACUAUUCUUCUUAGUUUUUUAUAUUUGAAAAUAUCCAUUUUAAAAAUACUCUCUUCCAAGAAGUGUUUCCUUCUUUCUCUUCUACCUGCAUCUGUCCCCUUUGCUCAGUUUAAAUUCACAUUGUCCCUCUUAUUUUAUCCUUCCUGCAGGGCACAGCACAUCCUGCUCCAGAGGCACAGGGAGAGAACAUGCUAUAUUCACCACUCCUUCCCGAGAAGGAGGGGAACAGAAGCUUCAGAGCCCACCCCUGCAGGUCUGUAGUUUUAAAGGCUUUUUUCAAUUGACCCUAUUUGCGUCCAAAAGAUGAGGACCCCAUCUAUGGGGUGUUUUAACCACAGCUCUGGGUAUUUGAGUUUCCAUCUGCUAAUAAGAAAAUGACUGAUGACUAUUUUGUUUGCUUACUCUCACUGAUCUGUUGGGUGACAUGGCCUGUAACUUAUAGUGACUAUACCUGUCUCCCGUGUCCCACUGAACUGAACUGGGGACAGAUCCAUGGGUCUUGAGGGGAACAGUCAGUGAUGAGGCCAGUCAGGUGAGGAGAGCAGCCCAAUUUGUGCUCUAAAUAGAGGGCACAGGAGGUUCUGUGCACCAAUGCUGACCCUGCUCACAGAGAGCCACCUGGACCAACUUGUCAGAAGGAUUCAGGGAUACCACUUGAGAUAAAGAAAAUAGCAGUGCAGAUUCCAUCCCCAUAAAGGGGCUUCUUUGCUACUCCAGGUUCUCAGAUCCCUGGAGCUGGGGCAAUGAGGAAAGUCUGCAGAAUGUUUGCAAACAACAUGAAUGCCCUGAGAAUUAGAAAGGAUGUCCCUUCCUUCUCCCCAGCCUUCCCUAGAAAUGGGAAAAUCACUUCUUUGAUAAUGCCAUCAACUUUUGAUAAUAUUCUUUGUGAAUUAUCCAUGCUUCCUUUUACCCCUUUCCUGGGUCCUGAGUUGCUUUCUCAAGGCCAGGCCACAGAACUUUGAGACUGUGUACUGAUGUGGUAUGAUUGUAUAUCAGGUGCUGUCCAAAGCCAAGGAGCAAUACUUUGGGUUUUCUCAGAUACCUUCCCUUGCCCAGGUCCCAGCCGUCCCUGAGCCUUUUGCCCGGGCUGCUGCUGGAUAGGUUUAUGCUUCACCGCUUCCAACCCAGGCCUGGCUGGGUUCACACUGGUUACUCAGGAAACCCUGGGUCUUCAGAGGAAGGUGUUGAUGUGGUUUAGGCCCAGGGGACUCUCCAGGCCAAGGUCCCUGGGCUAAGGUCAUAAAACAAGCUGGACACUCUUCCUUCCCUCCCGAACAGUGUACUGGAGGAAAGCUCUCCUCUUGAGUCCCUACUGCCCUUCCUGGUGGCACAAGGACCCCUCCCCCCCCCAUAUUUCUAGGACUCCCAUGGCUUUGCCUCCUCUUGGAGAAUGGAACUCCAGAGAUGGUCUAGCUGGGGAAGGUACAGAAAACAGGGAGCCUGUGCUUGCCCCUCCAUUCCCCAAGGUGUAGCUGUCAUAGAUGUUGCUGGGGCUCACAGUGACCUUCUCCCUGCAGGGCUCACGGUACAUGGUAAAGCUAGCUGCAGCCCACCUCUGAAACAGCCACAGCACCUGCUGUGAGAGAAGGAACCCCAGAAUCCGCGGACCAGUUUUCCGGGCCUCCCUCUCUUCCCUCUGCUACCGUUCCCUUUCUAGGCCUUAAGAAAACUGAAAAUAACUCUCAGCUGGAGGAGGUGGACUCCAGAGUGUGAGUGGCACGCUGCACCCUGAGGG